GAUGAACGCUGGCGGCGUGCCUAAUACAUGCAAGUCGAGCGAACGGACGAGAAGCUUGCCUCUCUGAUGUUAGCGGCGGACGGGUGAGUAACACGUGGAUAACCUACCUAUAAGACUGGGAUAACUUCAGGAAACCGGAGCUAAUACCGGAUAAUAUUUUGAACCGCAUGGUUCAAAAGUGAAAGACGGUCUUGCUGUCACUUAUAGAUGGAUCCGCGCUGCAUUAGCUAGUUGGUAAGGUAACGGCUUACCAAGGCAACGAUGCAUAGCCGAGCUGAGAGGAUGAUCAGCCACACUGGAACUGAGACACGGUCCAGACUCCUACGGGAGGCAGCAGUAGGGAAUCUUGCACAAUGGGCGAAAGCCUGACGGAGCAAAGCCGCGUGAGUGAUGAAGGUCUUCGGAUCGUAAAACACUUUUAUUUGGGAAGAACAUAAGUGUAAGUAGAUGUUCACGUCUUGACGGUACCUAAAGAGAAAGCACCGGCUAACUACGUG
RNAcentral lists this ribosomal RNA (497 nucleotides) under uncultured bacterium. Its description in RNAcentral is "partial 16S ribosomal RNA". It matches the Rfam family "Bacterial small subunit ribosomal RNA", at positions 28 to 507 of the family's 1533-position model. The record is from RNAcentral.